CAGAGUUUGGGGGAGGGCUGUUCUAUGGCAGCCAGGGGUUCUGGAUCACAAGGAUGGGGAGUGUGUCAAGUACUGGAGAAUGAGUCUAGACAGCACUGUGUUAGGUCUGCUGCUGAAGUCUAUUUGCUCCUAGAAUUGGGACCACACAGAACAGAGGAACCAUUGACAAGAAGCAUGGCUGGAGUACGAGGGUUCACAAAGGCUUGGAAACCACUGCUACCCGUUUUGAAAGAAGUACAAAUUGACCACCAACCAAACUCAUGUAAGUAAACAACUGUGUUCUCUUUGUUAAGUGGAUAUCCUUUGAACC
This 310-nucleotide long non-coding RNA is filed under the name Phascolarctos cinereus (koala). RNAcentral's name for it is "lncRNA (ENSPCIG00000036871.1)". Lineage: Eukaryota; Metazoa; Chordata; Mammalia; Diprotodontia; Phascolarctidae. The record is from RNAcentral.